This 306-nucleotide ribosomal RNA is filed under the name Salmonella enterica subsp. enterica serovar Infantis. RNAcentral's name for it is "partial 23S ribosomal RNA". It matches the Rfam family "Bacterial large subunit ribosomal RNA", at positions 2637 to 2925 of the family's 2925-position model. Lineage: Bacteria; Pseudomonadati; Pseudomonadota; Gammaproteobacteria; Enterobacterales; Enterobacteriaceae. RNAcentral also lists the same sequence under 1 other name. The record is from RNAcentral.
CCUAUCUGCCGUGGGCGCUGGAGAACUGAGGGGGGCUGCUCCUAGUACGAGAGGACCGGAGUGGACGCAUCACUGGUGUUCGGGUUGUCAUGCCAAUGGCACUGCCCGGUAGCUAAAUGCGGAAGAGAUAAGUGCUGAAAGCAUCUAAGCACGAAACUUGCCCCGAGAUGAGUUCUCCCUGAGACUUUAAGUCUCCUGAAGGAACGUUGAAGACGACGACGUUGAUAGGCCGGGUGUGUAAGCGCAGCGAUGCGUUGAGCUAACCGGUACUAAUGAACCGUGAGGCUUAACCUUACAACGCCGAAG